GGGUCUGUAGCUCAGUUGGUUAGAGCACACGCUUGAUAAGCGUGGGGUCACAAGUUUAGAUGAA
RNAcentral lists this transfer RNA (64 nucleotides) under Acinetobacter baumannii. RNAcentral's name for it is "tRNA-Ile". It matches the Rfam family "tRNA", at positions 1 to 58 of the family's 71-position model. From Rfam's summary of the family: Transfer RNA (tRNA) molecules are approximately 80 nucleotides in length. Their secondary structure includes four short double-helical elements and three loops (D, anti-codon, and T loops). Further hydrogen bonds mediate the characteristic L-shaped molecular structure. tRNAs have two regions of fundamental functional importance: the anti-codon, which is responsible for specific mRNA codon recognition, and the 3' end, to which the tRNAs corresponding amino acid is attached (by aminoacyl-tRNA synthetases). tRNAs cope with the degeneracy of the genetic code in two manners: having more than one tRNA (with a specific anti-codon) for a particular amino acid; and 'wobble' base-pairing, i.e. permitting non-standard base-pairing at the 3rd anti-codon position. Lineage: Bacteria; Pseudomonadati; Pseudomonadota; Gammaproteobacteria; Moraxellales; Moraxellaceae. The record is from RNAcentral.